RNAcentral lists this ribosomal RNA (432 nucleotides) under uncultured bacterium. RNAcentral's name for it is "partial 16S ribosomal RNA". It matches the Rfam family "Bacterial small subunit ribosomal RNA", at positions 29 to 506 of the family's 1533-position model. The record is from RNAcentral.
AACGAACGCUGGCGGCAUGCCUAACACAUGCAAGUCGAACGAGACCUUCGGGUCUAGUGGCGCACGGGUGCGUAACGCGUGGGAACCUGCCCUUAGGUUCGGAAUAACUCCCCGAAAGGGGUGCUAAUACCGGAUAAUGUCUUCGGACCAAAGAUUUAUCGCCUUUGGAUGGGCCCGCGUUGGAUUAGCUAGUUGGUAGGGUAAAAGCCUACCAAGGCGACGAUCCAUAGCUGGUCUGAGAGGAUGAUCAGCCACACUGGGACUGAGACACGGCCCAGACUCCUACGGGAGGCAGCAGUGGGGAAUAUGGGACAAUGGGCGAAAGCCUGAGCCAGCAAGGCCGCGUGGGUGAUGAGGGCGUUAGGGUUGUAAAGCUCUUUUACCCGGGAUGAUAAUGACAGUACCGGGAGAAUAAGCUCCGGCUAACUCCGU